CAAGUCGAACGCGAAAGUCCCCUUCGGGGGGCGAGUAGAGUGGCGCACGGGUGAGUAACACGUAGGUAAUCUACCUUUGGAUGGGGAAUAACAACCGGAAACGGUUGCUAAUACCGCAUAAUGCAGCGGCACCUAAUGGUGACAGUUGUUAAAGCGGGGGAUCGCAAGACCUCGCGUCUGAAGAGGAGCCUGCGGCAGAUUAGCUAGUUGGUAGGGUAACGGCUUACCAAGGCGAUGAUCUGUAGCCGGCCUGAGAGGGCGGUCGGCCACACUGACACUGACAUACGGGUCAGACUCCUGCGGGAGGCAGCAGUCGGGAAUUUUGGGCAAUGGGCGAAAGCCUGACCCAGCAACGCCGCGUGAAGGAUGAAAUCCCUCGGGAUGUAAACUUCGCAAGAACGGGAAGAAUAAGUAAGAGUUAAUAUCUCUUAUGAUGACGGUACUGUUUGUAAGCUCCGGCUAACUCCGUGCCAGCAGCCGCGGUAAUACGGGGGGAGCAAGCGUUGUUCGGAUUUACUGGGCGUAAAGGGCGCGUAGGCGGCCACCGCAAGUCGACUGUGAAAUCUCCGGGCUUAACUCGGAAAGGUCAGCCGAUACUGCGGGGCUAGAGUGCAGAAGGGGCAACUGGAAUUCUCGGUGUAGCGGUGAAAUGCGUAGAUAUCGAGAGGAACACCUGCGGCGAAGGCGGGUUGCUGGGCUGACACUGACGCUGAGGCGCGAAAGCUAGGGGAGCGAACGGGAUUAGAUACCCCGGUAGUCCUAGCCUUAAACGAUGAAUGCUUGGUGUCUGGGGUUUUAUAGUCCCCGGGUGCCGUC
This 816-nucleotide ribosomal RNA is filed under the name uncultured Actinomycetes bacterium. Its description in RNAcentral is "bacterial SSU rRNA". It matches the Rfam family "Bacterial small subunit ribosomal RNA", at positions 58 to 850 of the family's 1533-position model. Lineage: Bacteria; Bacillati; Actinomycetota; Actinomycetes. The record is from RNAcentral.